This 484-nucleotide ribosomal RNA is filed under the name uncultured bacterium. RNAcentral describes it as "partial 16S ribosomal RNA". It matches the Rfam family "Bacterial small subunit ribosomal RNA", at positions 30 to 507 of the family's 1533-position model. The record is from RNAcentral.
AUUGAACGCUGGCGGCAGGCCUAACACAUGCAAGUCGAGCGGAUGAAGGGAGCUUGCUCCUGGAUUCAGCGGCGGACGGGUGAGUAAUGCCUAGGAAUCUGCCUGGUAGUGGGGGAUAACGUCCGGAAACGGGCGCUAAUACCGCAUACGUCCUGAGGGAGAAGGUGGGGGAUCUUCGGACCUCACGCUAUCAGAUGAGCCUAGGUCGGAUUAGCUAGUUGGUGGGGUAAAGGCCUACCAAGGCGACGAUCCGUAACUGGUCUGAGAGGAUGAUCAGUCACACUGGAACUGAGACACGGUCCAGACUCCUACGGGAGGCAGCAGUGGGGAAUAUUGGACAAUGGGCGAAAGCCUGAUCCAGCCAUGCCGCGUGUGUGAAGAAGGUCUUCGGAUUGUAAAGCACUUUAAGUUGGGAGGAAGGGCAGUAAGUUAAUACCUUACUGUUUUGACGUUACCAACAGAAUAAGCACCGGCUAACUUCGUG